Molecule: non-coding RNA, 143 nt
Filed under: Priestia megaterium
Lineage: Bacteria; Bacillati; Bacillota; Bacilli; Caryophanales; Bacillaceae
Also listed under: 1 other name
Description: Bacillus megaterium FMN sequence
Rfam family: FMN riboswitch aptamer (RFN element)
About the family: The RFN element is a highly conserved domain that is found frequently in the 5'-untranslated regions of prokaryotic mRNAs that encode for flavin mononucleotide (FMN) biosynthesis and transport proteins. This element is a metabolite-dependent riboswitch that directly binds FMN in the absence of proteins.
Source: RNAcentral
GUCUAUCUUCGGGGCAGGGUGAAAUUCCCGACCGGCGGUAAAAAACAAAUUGUUUUGAGCCCGCGAGCUUAUAUGUAAUACAUACGAGCAGAUUUGGUGAAACUCCAAAGCCGACAGUACAGUCUGGAUGGGAGAAGGUGGAG